This 73-nucleotide transfer RNA is filed under the name Ipomoea nil (Japanese morning glory). It matches the Rfam family "tRNA". Rfam says of the family: Transfer RNA (tRNA) molecules are approximately 80 nucleotides in length. Their secondary structure includes four short double-helical elements and three loops (D, anti-codon, and T loops). The record is from Rfam by way of RNAcentral. Lineage: Eukaryota; Viridiplantae; Streptophyta; Magnoliopsida; Solanales; Convolvulaceae.
GCUUGUUUAGCUCAAUUGGUAGAGCGUAAGGCUCUUAACCUUGUGGUUGUGGGUUUGAAACCCAUGAUGGGCU